RNAcentral lists this ribosomal RNA (250 nucleotides) under uncultured prokaryote. RNAcentral's name for it is "partial 16S rRNA". It matches the Rfam family "Bacterial small subunit ribosomal RNA", at positions 525 to 775 of the family's 1533-position model. The record is from RNAcentral.
ACGUAGGGGGCAAGCGUUAUCCGGAAUUAUUGGGCGUAAAGAGUGCGUAGGUGGUUUUUUAAGCGUGAGGUGAAAGGCAAUAGCUUAACUAUUGUAAGCCUUGCGAACUGGAAGACUUGAGUGCAGGAGAGGAAAGUGGAAUUCCUAGUGUAGCGGUGAAAUGGGUAGAUAUUAGGAGGAAGACCAGUGGGGAAGGCGACUUACUGGGCUGUAACUGACUGUGAGGCACGUAAGCGUGUGGAGCAAACAU